This is a long non-coding RNA of Myotis brandtii (Brandt's bat), 417 nucleotides long. RefSeq lists it as uncharacterized. The transcript has 4 exons. The record is from RefSeq and is a predicted model, not a curated record. Lineage: Eukaryota; Metazoa; Chordata; Mammalia; Chiroptera; Vespertilionidae.
GAAGGGAGGAAGGACUUUUCUAUCUUCCUAUUUACUCACUCUUCAGCAUUCCUUGAUUGCCUACCCUGUAGGCACUUCGCUAGAUACUGGAAACACACUGUUCCAGCAACAGAGGAUUCAACCAGACAGACCAUCCGUGCCUGGACGAACAUGAGAAUGGUCUCCUCCCAACUGGAAAGGCUGUUACUGCCAUGCCACAGGGACCAGCCUCCCAAUUUCCCACAGGAAUACUGGUCAGUCUGGGAAACUCCCGGCCGCUGCAGCAAGGGACAAGCUAUAGAGCCUGCACAAUAUGCAUCAAAAUUCAGGUGCCUUGGCGCAGCCUCUCGUGCGUGCCCUAGGCGAUAACCAGAGGUGUGGCUGCCACCCAAGAAGUACUUUCAAGGCAUUAAGAAGCUGUGGAAAUAAAAAGAACAA